AUGGCGCGGCCAAACCUGCGGCCGGGAAACAAGUGGUGCAGGCUCCCCCGAUACCCAACCCUGCUGCUCGUCCUCCACCAGCAGCCGCUCCGGUUCAGCCCCUUGACCCCAGCCUGGGCUAGGCCUCAACCUACAACUACAUAUUUUGGCAGUGUUGCUGCAGGGCUGGGCUUCUACCAUGUUGAUGUGCCAGUAGCUGCUGAAUUGAAAUGGUUAAAUUACAAGAACUGCGCGGUGCUGAAGAUAGUUAAGGGUGAAGUUUCUACUUCCGAGCUACUAGUUCAACUUAAUGGAAUUUUCUGCAAGAAUAAACAAUGGCCUUGGCAGAUCAGAGAGCUGGAGGAAAAGAAAUAUCUGUUGAGGUUUCCUCCGUGGAAAAAUGUGGAUGACCUGAUAAAAUUUCCUGUGUUUGAGCUGCCUAUUGAUGGGGUGUCUGUGAAGAUCUAUGAGUGGCAAGGCAUGUUAGAUGAAUUUGGUGAACUGAAAGAGGCUUGGGUUCAAGUGGAAGGGAUUCCCCCUAAAUGAAUCAAAGUGGCUUGCAGAGAUCCCAGUAAAAUUCCAUUUGCGAGGCUGAUAGAAAUGAAGAAGAAACUUUAUCUGUCGUUCUUCACUGUUGAAGGUUUUGAGCAAAUUGGGGAGGAAUCUGAUGGAGAUGAUGAUGACCCUGAUCUGAACAAUAAAGAGGAAAACAUGGAUGAUGAGAAUGGUCCUGAGAAAGACAAAAUGGAGGAUGAUGGAGACGAGGCCAUUGAUGAGCUAGAUAAAGAAAACUUCCGUCCAAAGCAAACUAGGUCCUCAAAUGGUGGCACCACUAAGAGAUUGUCUGCUUCUGCAGCUGGAUUUCACCCUGAUUGCAUGAGAGAUGAGAUACAUGACAACUUUCUGGAGGAAAUAAAAAAAAUGUUCCUGUGGGGGUGA
Molecule: ribosomal RNA, 918 nt
Filed under: Triticum aestivum (bread wheat)
Lineage: Eukaryota; Viridiplantae; Streptophyta; Magnoliopsida; Poales; Poaceae
Description: partial small subunit ribosomal RNA
Source: RNAcentral